GACGGAGGGGGCUAGCGUUGUUCGGAAUUACUGGGCGUAAAGGGCGCGUAGGCGGAUUAGUAAGUUGGGAGUGAAAGCCCGGGGCUUAACCUCGGAACUGCUUUCAAAACUGCUAGUCUUGAGUGAAGUAGGGGAUGAUGGAAUUCCUAGUGUAGAGGUGAAAUUCUUAGAUAUUAGGAGGAACACCGGUGGCGAAGGCGGUCAUCUGGACUUCAACUGACGCUGAGGCGCGAAAGCGUGGGGAGCAAACAGGAUUAGAUACCCUAGUAGU
RNAcentral lists this ribosomal RNA (271 nucleotides) under uncultured bacterium. Its description in RNAcentral is "partial 16S ribosomal RNA". It matches the Rfam family "Bacterial small subunit ribosomal RNA", at positions 524 to 794 of the family's 1533-position model. The record is from RNAcentral.